UGGGGGAUAUUGCACAAUGGGCGAAAGCCUGAUGCAGCGACGCCGCGUGGGGGAUGAAGGCUUUCGGGUUGUAAACCUCUUUCGCUAUCGAACAAGGCCCGCUUAGGGUGGGUUGAGGGUAGGUGGAGAAGAAGCGCCGGCUAACUACGUGCCAGCAGCCGCGGUAAUACGUAGGGCGCGAGCGUUGUCCGGAAUUAUUGGGCGUAUAGGGCUUGUAGGCGGCUUGUUGCGCCUGCUGUGAAAACGCGGGGCUUAACUUCGCGCGUGCAGUGGGUACGGGCAGGCUUGAGUGUGGGAUGGGUGACUGGAAUUCCAGGUGUAGCGGUGGAAUGCGCAGAUAUCUGGAGGAACACCGAUGGCGAAGGCAGGUCACUGGGCCAUUACUGACGCUGAGGAGCGAAAGCAUGGGUAGCGAACAGG
This 420-nucleotide ribosomal RNA is filed under the name bacterium. RNAcentral describes it as "partial 16S ribosomal RNA". It matches the Rfam family "Bacterial small subunit ribosomal RNA", at positions 355 to 776 of the family's 1533-position model. The record is from RNAcentral.